RNAcentral lists this ribosomal RNA (459 nucleotides) under uncultured bacterium. Its description in RNAcentral is "partial 16S ribosomal RNA". It matches the Rfam family "Bacterial small subunit ribosomal RNA", at positions 338 to 795 of the family's 1533-position model. The record is from RNAcentral.
CCUACGGGAUGCUGCAGUGAGGAAUAUUGGUCAAUGGACGAGAGGCUGAACCAGCCAAGUAGCGUGAAGGAUGACUGCCCUAUGGGUUGUAAACCGCUUUUGCACGGGGAUAACACCAUCCCCUUGUGGAGGUCUGCAGGUACCGUGCGAAUAAGCGCCGGCUAAUUCCGUGCCAGCAGCCGCGGUAAUACGGAAGACCCGAGCGUUAUCCGGAUUCAUUGGGCUUAAAGGGAGCGUAGGCGGGCGUGCAAGUCAGCGGUAAAAUCGCGCGGCUCAACCGCGCCCAGCGGUUGAAACUGGACGCCUUGAGAUGACAAGAGGUAGGCGGAAUUCGCGGUGUAGCGGUGAAAUGCAUAGAUAUCGCGAGGAACCCCGAUUGCGAAGGCAGCCUACCGGCGGGCGACUGACGCUGAGGCUCGAAGGCGUGGGUAUCAAACAGGAUUAGAUACCCUAGUAGUC